RNAcentral lists this ribosomal RNA (449 nucleotides) under uncultured bacterium. Its description in RNAcentral is "partial 16S ribosomal RNA". It matches the Rfam family "Bacterial small subunit ribosomal RNA", at positions 29 to 523 of the family's 1533-position model. The record is from RNAcentral.
AACGAACGCUGGCGGCAUGCCUAACACAUGCAAGUCGAACGAGAUCUUCGGGUCUAGUGGCGCACGGGUGCGUAACGCGUGGGAAUCUGCCCUUUGGUUCGGAAUAACAGAUGGAAACGACUGCUAAUACCGGAUGAUGACGAAAGUCCAAAGAUUUAUCGCCAGAGGAUGAGCCCGCGUAGGAUUAGCAAGUUGGUGUGGUAAAGGCGCACCAAGGCGACGAUCCUUAGCUGGUCUGAGAGGAUGAUCAGCCACACUGGGACUGAGACACGGCCCAGACUCCUACGGGAGGCAGCAGUGGGGAAUAUUGGACAAUGGGCGAAAGCCUGAUCCAGCAAUGCCGCGUGAGUGAUGAAGGCCUUAGGGUUGUAAAGCUCUUUUACCCGGGAUGAUAAUGACAGUACCGGGAGAAUAAGCUCCGGCUAACUCCGUGCCAGCCGCCGCGGUAA